GCUGGAAUAGCUCAGUUGGUUAGAGCAUGUGGCUCUUAACUACAAGGUUGGAGGUUUAAACCAUUUUUUUAGCG
This 74-nucleotide transfer RNA is filed under the name Ipomoea nil (Japanese morning glory). It matches the Rfam family "tRNA". From Rfam's summary of the family: Transfer RNA (tRNA) molecules are approximately 80 nucleotides in length. The record is from Rfam by way of RNAcentral. Lineage: Eukaryota; Viridiplantae; Streptophyta; Magnoliopsida; Solanales; Convolvulaceae.